AGAAUCAACGCUGGCGGCGUGCCUAACACAUGCAAGUCGCACGAGAAAGGGACUUCGGUCCUGAGUAAAGUGGCGCACGGGUGAGUAACACGUGAAUCAUCUACCUCCGAGUGGGGAAUAACCUAGAGAAAUCUGGGCUAAUACCGCAUAACACUUACGAGUCAAAGCAGCAAUGCGCUUGGAGAGGAGUUCGCGGCAGAUUAGUUAGUUGGCGGGGUAAUGGCCCACCAAGACGAUGAUCUGUAUCCGGCCUGAGAGGGCGCACGGACACACUGGAACUGAAACACGGUCCAGACUCCUACGGAGGCAGCAGUGGGGAAUUUUGCGCAAUGGGGGAAACCCUGACGCAGCAACGCCGCGUGGAGGAUGAAGCCCCUUGGGGUGUAAACUCCUUUCGAUCGGGAAGAUAAUGACGGUACCGAUAUAAGAAGCCCGGCUAACUUCGCGCCAGCAGCCGC
RNAcentral lists this ribosomal RNA (458 nucleotides) under uncultured bacterium. Its description in RNAcentral is "SSU rRNA". It matches the Rfam family "Bacterial small subunit ribosomal RNA", at positions 26 to 518 of the family's 1533-position model. The record is from RNAcentral.